This 417-nucleotide long non-coding RNA is filed under the name Salvia miltiorrhiza (redroot sage). RNAcentral describes it as "long non-coding RNA (SMIL_LNC002578)". The record is from RNAcentral. Lineage: Eukaryota; Viridiplantae; Streptophyta; Magnoliopsida; Lamiales; Lamiaceae.
AUGAAUGUAAAUUUUGGAGUUCUCAUAUGAUUCUCUUUUCAAUCUCACAGUAAAUUUUGGAUUUGAAUACAGCUCGGGAAGACAUAGAUGAGUGGGGAAGUUUUUUUGUUUUUUGUUUUAUUUUUUGUUUUUUGGUUUUGGUUUUUUUUAAUCUCCAAUUUUCUUAAUACAUUUUAAUGAUGUUGCAUCCAUGUUAUUUUUUAAUUAAUGUGUAAAAGUGUAACGUAAUUCUACGCGGCAUCUGUUUUUAUAAAGCGGGUAUAAUUUGACUAUUUUAAAUUUAAAAUAAUAUUUAACCUAUAAUAAGAAGAGUGGAUUUUUAAAAUGGCCACUUUCAUAUUGUAAAAAUAAAAAAUGUCCACUAAAAUAAAAAACUUAAAAAAUGUCCACUGUUACCAAAAUACCCUUCACAUUAAA